Molecule: long non-coding RNA, 3903 nt
Organism: Manis pentadactyla (Chinese pangolin)
Lineage: Eukaryota; Metazoa; Chordata; Mammalia; Pholidota; Manidae
Exons: 3
Source: RefSeq, a predicted model, not a curated record
UAGAACGUCAAUGGCUUCUGCUGUUUCCAGGUAAAAUUCUAACGUGUCAGCAGGCUGGGAGACUUUGCCAUUUGACCCCACGUGGCUUUCCAGCCUCUCAUCACUCCCCUACACCACGGCCAUGCCACUGUAUGUCGCCUGCUGCCGCAUGCCUUUCUUAUGCUGUCCCCACAGCACCUGCCUCUUCGCUCAGCACAACCUGCUUAUAAGGCCAUCAACUCGUCUGUGUGUGCUUGGCACAGCAUUUUUUAUCUGAUUCAUAAGAGACCUCAGCAAACACUUGCUGAAUGCAGUCUCCCUUUCCUGACCCAAGUUAGCAUAUGUGUCAUGUUACUUCUUUGGAAUUUUUAAAGUUCCUUUUAAAAAUGCCAGUUCUUCCGUCACCGCCUCCCCCAACACCUUCCUUCUCCCCCUGGUGGUCCCCCACCCUGGUCCCCGGGAGCCGCCAUGGAGACUGUCUGGCACCCAGUGACCUACACUCUCUGGGAAGCCUCGGCACCAUACUGUGUCCUAUCCCUGCCUUCUGCUCUGCUCUCCUCACUCUCAGCAGGUCCUCAUGAAUUAAUGACUCUCCUUCUAGCUAUUGGCACCCUUAGCAGUGCCCCUCGGCAUCUCAUUCUUUUGGUUCCCGAUGUAGGCACUAUGUCUCCUUCUUGGGAAGUAGUGAAGUGGUUCUCAGAUCCUGUUCCAGAGGAGAUCCUGGGGUUCCUUCAGCUACUCAGAGAUAUUUUAAGACAAAAAUAAAAUCGAGGUGGUCUUUCUCCAAUUCAGAUAAGGCUAGAAUUCUCUCAAUUCUGGAUUUCAUCACAAAUAAGCCUUCAUCCUUGGCAUUUGCUGUCACUUGUCUGUUAAUGAGAAUUUGUGGUUAGUUGGUAAAACGAAUGACUUAGCAGCAAAAAAUGACCAUCAAUAAAAAAAGCCUUGUGAGGUUUCUUCCAAUAAUUUCAUGGAUUUUUCCUUUAGACGUAGAGACUUGCAUCCACAGAAUAGAGUCACGUUCUCUGCUGGUUUCCAUGCUCUUGGUUCACACGAUGGAAGGGUUCCCAGUGCACACCUGCUUCCCAAGUGUUCGGUCACCAAAUAACCUUCAGGACUGAAGGCACAGUGGUUCACAGAGUGGGACGCAGGCAGGCCUGCUGCGAAUCCCUGGCUGCCUGUCUGUGAGCUGUGUGACACUGGGCGCAGUGCUCCCCUUCUCUGAGCUCAGGUUUCCUGAUUGGCAGACUGAGGAAUGGUGCUGGCCUCCCAGGGCUAUUGUGAGGUUAACCAGGAACUGCCUGGCUCAAGUGGGUGUGGAAUAAACGAUGGCAUCAGUAUCAGUACCAUGGGUGAGUGGUGAGUGCUGGGCUGGGGCCGCAGAGGAUGCCUCUCUGUUCUUCUGUGACCCUGGCUCUGCCUCUUGGAGCUGUGGGACCUCAGGCAAAUCGCAGAACCAGAAUCUUCAUGGCCCUUUUGCAGGAGAAGGAAAAUCUUGCCCUAGUGUUUCAUCAGCAUCUGAGGAAAACCUUUCUGAAAUGAGCAAAUCUGUACAACUGAAGGGUGUCUUUGCUAUUUGUAGCAGAUGGGGCUGUUGGAUUAUUAACUUUGUGCAAACUGAUUGAAUGUGUAGAAAGGGAACCUAUUAUUUGGAGGCCCGAGGGUCAGCCCUGACUACUAAUAAUGAUAAAAAAUACUGAGAACCGCUAACCUUUAUUGUGUGGUGCACAUGAAACGAGGCAUCAUUCUAAGCACUUACAUGAAUUAACUCAUUUUAUGUUCAUGGCAGCCUAAUGAGGUAGGUGACAUUUUUAUCCCUGCCCUUUUUUUUUGAAUUAUGGUUAAAUAUACAUAACAUAAAAUUGACCAUUUUAACUAGUUUUUAGUGUGCAGUUCAGUAUGUUGAGCACAUUCACAUUUGUUACACAUUAUCUCCAUUUUUCACAUGAAUAAACAGGCCCAGAAGAGUGAACAAACUGGCCCAAGGUCAGGUCACAAGUGUAGGUACAGGCAGGACUCGAACCUGGACCCUCUGUCCUAGGGCUGUGCUGAGCUGCCUCGUGCUGCCUCCCACCUGGACAAACACCCUGCCGUUGACAGGAAACCCAUGGUGGGUGAGCAGAAUGAACAACGGGAGAGGACGCUGGGGUUGACUGUUUGGGUCCUCCCGGGCUGAGGCUUAGCACACUCUCUCUCAUCGGGGCUCACCAUCUUUCCAGGUGCUCUGCAGUACACGUGCUUGCCUUGGCCUACAACACUCAGAGACAAGAAUGGACAGGUGCUGCAUGCUACGGGGCAGUGGCAGGUGAGCUCGGGUGUGCACACGGGCACGUGGCUGGGCCACCUGCUCUGGUACUUGCUCCCUGUUCUGUGCUGCUGGCCACACGUGAGCCUGCAGAACAUUCCACGCAGUAGCCAAGGUCAAACGGCUGUGUGAAGCUGGGCUUUUGGUCUCUUGCUACCAUCUCCUGCACCGGCUCUCUGUGCCCUUCUCCGUGAGCAGCCUGGGCAGUGUUUUCUGCUCUCUAAGGUGCUGGAACACCAGAAGGCUCCUGUGGCAGUCUGGGGUGGGUAAUGACCCCAAAAAGUGAAGCAACACUUAUUCUUUGGAACUUUUCUCCUCCCUGCCUCCACCCCCCAGAGAAGGCUUGCCCAGGACACGAUGGCUGGCUCUGCCUGCUGCAUUUCGCAAGAGGAGGGCUCCUCACACAAUAGGGUCCACUGGGAAAACGACAACGAUCUGGGGGCAUGUUCCAGCUGUGCUGGGGGCUCUGAGAAGAGACCUGGCAAGUUCAGGGAUGAUUUUUGAGGGGGACCUGAUCGCUCACACCCCCAACCCAACCAUUUGAAGUCUGCACUCUCAGAGACAACUGCCAGAAAGCUUUGAAACAAGUUUAAAUCGUGCUGCUUUUGCUGAAGCAGGAUUUUGACAUCUCAUUUUUGCUUUCUGGUCAUGAUAGACCAGGAACGAAUGUGCACAAGGAUGGGCCUUUGCAUGACCCCGACCUCUGGCCUGGUUUGGAAGUGAGGGCGGGUGAAGAGUGUCUUUGUAUGACUGCUUUGCAGGCUUGUCUCUGAUCUGUCGGAGGCGGGAUGUGGAGGAGGAGGCCUUGUGGGAGCGUGGCAUGCAGAAGACGGGAAGCAUGCUGCCAUCUGGGUCACACACCUGUGCUCGGGAUUGAACCGCCUGCCCAGAGACAGAUGGUGCCCUGUACCCAGCAGGACAAGAAGCUGGGACAAGAAGCGAGGAAAGCAGAGUUUGGCCCUGACGGGAUGAAGUCUGACUCUCUAGGGGGCAUCCAGGGCCACCACCAACUGGCACCAACUGGUGCCAGACUCAGGCAUGAGCAGGACAGUAACAUCCUUGCGGCAGGACUUCAGUCUGCUGGGAAAGCAAGACCCUGAGCCACCCACCCGGCCCAGCGGCCUUCCAGGCACCGAGUAUCGGCUCUCUCCACUCACCGUCAGCAGUUGCGGGAGGAAGAGGUGGGGAAAAGCCUGCUUAAUGGGUACAGGGUGUUAUCUGAGGGAAAUUAAAAUGUUUUGGAACUAGGAGAGGUGAUGGUUAGCACAAGACUGUAAAUAUAAUAAAUGUCACUGACUUGUACACUUUCAAAUGGUUAGUUUUAUGUUAUGUGAAUUUCACCUCAAUUGAAAAAAAGGAAAACCAGCUGCCCCACAGAUGGGCUGGGAUGGGCUGGCCCCCUGGGGAAGGUCACUGGGGUGGCAUCUGAUCAGCACCCUGAUGCUGAGAGGGAGCUAGCCCCACAGAGGGUUCCAGGCAGAGGGCAGCGCGAGGACAGAGGUCUGAACGGGAUGCGCUUGGCCCCUGCGUGGCAUGGGUGGACAGCCAGUGUGGCUGAAGUGCUGGGGUGUAUGUCUGCAGAGUUGGGAGGCGAGAGAGGAGCUGGUAGUGGGAAGGAGGCA